This 82-nucleotide microRNA precursor is filed under the name Columba livia (rock pigeon). RNAcentral describes it as "microRNA cli-mir-9623 precursor". Lineage: Eukaryota; Metazoa; Chordata; Aves; Columbiformes; Columbidae. The record is from miRBase by way of RNAcentral.
UACCUAGGCCUUUUCUAGUGUGGGAUUUAAAGUUGUGUGUAACUCGUGACAGCAUACCUUUAAAUCCUGGUCUGGACAAGGU